GGAGGAAUUUUGCGCAAUGGCCGCAAGGCUGACGCAGCAACGCCGCGUGGGUGACGAAGGCCUUCGGGCCGUAAAGCCCUGUCAGGUGGGAAGAAAGGCCUGGAGAGGAAAGGUUUCAGGUUUGACGGUACCACCAGAGGAAGCACCGGCUAACUCCGUUCCAGCAGCCGCGGUAAUACGGAGGGUGCGAGCGUUAUUCGGAAUUACUGGGCGUAAAGCGCGUGUAGGCGGGGGGACAAGUCUGAUGUGAAAGCCCUGGGCUUAACCUGGGAAGCGCAUUGGAAACUGUUUUUCUUGAGUACUGGAGAGGAAGGGGGAAUUCCCGGUGUAGAGGUGAAAUUCGUAGAGAUCGGGAGGAAUACCAGUGGCGUAGGCGCCCUUCUGGACGGUAACUGACGCUGAGACGCGAAAGCGUGGGGAGCAAACAG
This 428-nucleotide ribosomal RNA is filed under the name uncultured bacterium. RNAcentral's name for it is "bacterial SSU rRNA". It matches the Rfam family "Bacterial small subunit ribosomal RNA", at positions 355 to 775 of the family's 1533-position model. The record is from RNAcentral.